GUGUUAACUUUUAGAUGAUUCACUUUCUUUUUGACUUAGUACAUGAUCAGUUUUGUGAAUGUCUUCAUUUAUACUUGAAAAAAUAUACUUUUUUUGAUUAUUGCUUUACAAAUUGUUUUAUUCUUUAAUAAAUAUCCAUAAUUGCUUAAUUUGUUAAUUUUCUUUUUGAGAAGCUUAUUUGUUAAAAAUUUUUAGUUGUCUGUUAUAUUCUCCGUAGAAUUACACUACUAGUUUAAAGCCGCCAGAUACAGUUGUAGGAACAGAACUGUGAUAUUUCGCAAGAGUUACAAGCAUUCUGAACCACGUUUCUUCAGCUGAAUUUUCUCCAGUGGUUUUCUUUAUGUUGUUUGCUCUGAAGAAAAUUUUUUUUGUUUGUUUUAGCAAACUUGUAUAUAGACACAGAAUUUGCAAGGGUAUGUACACACCAUGGCUAUGGUUAGUCUUAUUACCAUACUUUUAUUGCUUUACAGUCAUUUAAUUUCUAGCCCUAUAAAAAGAACUACUUCACCUCAAUGGUAGAGGCUACAGUGAGCGCGCACUUAGGAUAUCCUAGAUGGUCUCAUCUUGCUUGCUCCUGGAGAUUACAUCACCUCAGAUGACGUCAUCCCAGCCUAAAACAUACCAUUAGCGGUAACUUCAAUCCUUAAUUAGAGAUGACUUCAUCCCUUCCUUAGUCAGAAAUGACCUUGUUUGGAUAGUCCUUUUGUUAUUCCCCAUAGAAAGAAAAGAAAAAAAGAUGACUUCAUCCCAGAUAUUGAAAUCUCCAUGCCACACACAUAUGGACUCUGCUCCGUUUUACAGGGCAGUGGGCGUUAAUUGGCAUCUGUUGCUUUAUUUCUUCAUCGGAUAUUAGGGAUUUUGUUCAGUUUCUGAGCCUGCUGUGUACUUACACACAUGACAAUGGUUGGCUUCUUGUACUCUAAGAAUACAUACAUACCUAAAAUUCUAUGCCUAAAAGUGAUUUGCUGUUGAAUGAAUAUGUCUUCCCCAAUGCAUGUUGAAACCUAAUCUCAAUGAUGACGUUUUGGAAGUGCAGUAAGAGUUUGUAAACCAAGGUGUAAGUAGAUUGCCGAAAUGCAGUGUCGGUGGGACAUAUUUGCCUCUUUUACCAUGUGAGGAUACAAUAAAAAAUGCUUAUAAAUC
Molecule: long non-coding RNA, 1143 nt
Filed under: Mus musculus (house mouse)
Lineage: Eukaryota; Metazoa; Chordata; Mammalia; Rodentia; Muridae
Description: long non-coding RNA chr19:38970321-38971464
Source: RNAcentral